AAUAUUACAAACUCACCACCACGAACUCAUCUACCAAAUACUUAAAUAUCUCUAUAUAUUAUAAUAUAAUUUAAAAAGUAAUCAAAUUUAAUAUCUGCAAGCAUAUAUGUUAUUUUAAUUGAUAUCACAAACUUACCACUACAAGCUCAUCUACCAACCUAAACAGCAUUAUAUCUAUAUAUUAUAAUAUAAAUUUUAAAAUAAUCAAAUUUAAUAUUUGCAGGUAUAUAUGCUACUUUAAUUUAUAUCACAAACUCACCACCACAAACUCAUCUACCAAUUACUUGAAAAAUUUACAUCAUACUAAUAUUAAAUUUGUAGCUGGACUCUAUAUAUAUAUAUAUAGAGAGAGAGAGAGAGAGAGAGAGAG
Molecule: long non-coding RNA, 370 nt
Filed under: Ananas comosus (pineapple)
Lineage: Eukaryota; Viridiplantae; Streptophyta; Magnoliopsida; Poales; Bromeliaceae
Description: long non-coding RNA (ACOM_LNC007246)
Source: RNAcentral